RNAcentral lists this ribosomal RNA (393 nucleotides) under uncultured bacterium. RNAcentral's name for it is "bacterial SSU rRNA". It matches the Rfam family "Bacterial small subunit ribosomal RNA", at positions 30 to 431 of the family's 1533-position model. The record is from RNAcentral.
AUUGAACGCUGGCGGCAUGCCUUACACAUGCAAGUCGAACGGCAGCACGGGAGCAAUCCUGGUGGCGAGUGGCGAACGGGUGAGUAAUAUAUCGGAACGUGCCCAGUCGUGGGGAUAACGUAGCGAAAGUUACGCUAAUACCGCAUACGAUCUAAGGAUGAAAGCGGGGGAUCGCAAGACCUCGCGCGAUUGGAGCGGCCGAUAUCAGAUUAGGUAGUUGGUGAGGUAAAGGCUCACCAAGCCAACGAUCUGUAGCUGGUCUGAGAGGACGACCAGCACACUGGAACUGAGACACGGCCCAGACUCUACGGGAGGCAGCAGUGGGAAUUUUGGACAAUGGGCGCAAGCCUGAUCCAGCAAUGCCGCGUGCAGGAUGAAGGCUCGGUGUAACGU